UACAGAGGGUGCGAGCGUUGUCCGGAAUCACUGGGCGUAAAGGGUGCGUAGGCGGCGCGGUAAGUCGGGUGUGAAAUCUCGGGGCUUAACUCCGAAACUGCAUUCGAUACUGCCGUGCUUGAGGACUGGAGAGGAGACUGGAAUUUACGGUGUAGCGGUGAAAUGCGUAGAUAUCGUAAGGAAGACCAGUGGCGAAGGCGGGUCUCUGGACAGUUCCUGACGCUGAGGCACGAAGGUCAGGGGAGCAAACGGG
RNAcentral lists this ribosomal RNA (253 nucleotides) under uncultured bacterium. RNAcentral describes it as "partial 16S ribosomal RNA". It matches the Rfam family "Bacterial small subunit ribosomal RNA", at positions 524 to 776 of the family's 1533-position model. The record is from RNAcentral.